RNAcentral lists this ribosomal RNA (274 nucleotides) under uncultured bacterium. Its description in RNAcentral is "partial 16S ribosomal RNA". It matches the Rfam family "Bacterial small subunit ribosomal RNA", at positions 523 to 796 of the family's 1533-position model. The record is from RNAcentral.
AUACGGAGGGUGCAAGCGUUAAUCGGAAUUACUGGGCGUAAAGCGUACGUAGGCGGUUAUUUAAGUCAGAUGUGAAAGCCCCGGGCUUAACUUGGGAACUGCAUUUGAAACUGGGUAACUAGAGUUUAGUAGAGGGGAGUGGAAUUUCAGGUGUAGCGGUGAAAUGCGUAGAGAUCUGAAGGAACACCAGUGGCGAAGGCGACUCCCUGGACUAAACCUGACGCUGAGGUACGAAAGCGUGGGUAGCAAACAGGAUUAGAAACCCCAGUAGUCC